Molecule: long non-coding RNA, 274 nt
Filed under: Elaeis guineensis (African oil palm)
Lineage: Eukaryota; Viridiplantae; Streptophyta; Magnoliopsida; Arecales; Arecaceae
Description: long non-coding RNA (EGUI_LNC075270)
Source: RNAcentral
GGCGCCUCUUGUUGGAUUUCAGUGAUGCAGCAGAAUGUAAAUUUCAAAAAUUUUUUCAUGUAUUCAAAUAUUGAAAAUAAGUUUAAUAAUUAAACUAGACUAUAAGAACACAAAAGUCUUAGGAACACCUUGAUGAUUGCAAUCAAACAUCAUAAGCAUGUAUAUAAGCAAGGGAUCAGAUGUCAUAUACCAACAUAAAGAUGAUGAUCUGAUAAUUAUAAGAUCUUCAAAAGACUCUAAAGUAGAAGCCCUCUAGUGGUGAUCCACACGGGAC